RNAcentral lists this long non-coding RNA (258 nucleotides) under Nicotiana benthamiana. Its description in RNAcentral is "long non-coding RNA (NBEN_LNC002067)". The record is from RNAcentral. Lineage: Eukaryota; Viridiplantae; Streptophyta; Magnoliopsida; Solanales; Solanaceae.
UUUCUGUCAAGUUUUUUGCUGCUCUACUACUAUAACGUAGAUCCAUGAGUGACCAAAGGAGAUAUCAGAUUUUUCGGAUUGGCACCGUGCAUAAGCUUACCCCAUGUAUGCAGCCAUUUAGUCCUAAUCUAUAAAUUUCACAUUUGAUCUCUAAAGAGAUAUGUAUGUGAAGCAUAUAGUUCCCUGGAUGUUCAAGUGAAUUGUUUUGCAAAUACCUUGUUGCUGAUGCAGGGAACUGAAAACCUUCCUGGUCUAAUG